UUGACGAUAUCUUCAAACAGGUUUAGACCAUUCAGGCCUAGAUGUUGUGGCGUUCAUUUCCGCAAAACUUGUUAGAGCCUUAUAAAGGACUUAAUACGGCCGAACAAAAAAAUGCCAAUUAAUUAUUACCAAUUUAUUUCGCAAGGUGGUGUUAUCUAUAGAUUAACUAUGUCAUUAGUAGAAACAUCAUCGACCCUUGCAAUCCGUAUAUAUAGUAAAUAUUAUCGCUAACAAUAAGAUAGAAUAAAUAUGUCGACUACUGAAGAUUGGCGUUAUUAUGAAUUUAGGCAAAAAAUAUUACAAAUACUCAAGGAGGUUGUAGGAGAAUCAAGUAAGUGUUCACUGUUUCACAUCUUUUCAAUGGAAGAUCUCUAUUUUUGGACAGCAGAUAACAAGGAUGAUUAUCUCACGUUUAUUGCAAGACUUAUAUCCCAUAUUCAAGAAGAACAAGAUUAAUUAUAUACUAUAAUAUAUUCAAUUUGUUAUAAUAUGUUUCUAUUAUGAUCUAAUUUCGACUAACUAAUAUUUACUUUACACAAUAUAAACAUAAAUAAUAAAAACAAGCAUUUAAAUUGACGGUUACGUCUAAUUAAUUGUUACCAAUUUAUUUUGCAAGGUGGUGUUAUCUAUAGAUUAAUUAUGUCAUUGGUAGAAACAUUAUUCACCCUUGCAAUCCAUAUAUAUAAUAAACAUUAUCACUAACAAUCAGAAAGAAUAAAUAUGUCGAGCACUGAAGAUUGGCGUUCUAGUGAACUCAGGAAAAAUAUAUUAGCAAUACUGUAAGUAUUUUUAAACAUUAUACAUUAUAAAUAAAUUUGUUUUAAAUAUUGUACUUGAAAUGUUUAAAUACAUAGUAAAGAAGCCGUAGAAGCAAGACAUAAUGUUUCUAAAUUUUUAAAUGUUUAUGGAAUGGAAAGCCGCAUAUUUCAUAAAGCAAAAACCAAGUGUGAAUAUCUCGAAUUUGUGGGAAGACUUAUAAUACAUUCUAUGGGAAAAAAAAUUUAAUUAUGUAUCACAACAUAUCCUAUUUCUUAUAAUAUAUUUUUAUUUUUAUCUAAU
RNAcentral lists this long non-coding RNA (1059 nucleotides) under Polistes fuscatus (common paper wasp). RNAcentral describes it as "uncharacterized LOC122526017, transcript variant X1". The record is from RNAcentral. Lineage: Eukaryota; Metazoa; Arthropoda; Insecta; Hymenoptera; Vespidae.